AUGGGAAUAUACAUGGUAGGCAGUAAUGGUGACAUCUGUAAAAAGAGGCCGGAGGGGAGAAUUAGACAUGGACGUCCACUCAUAGCAUCAAGCCAACCUGAUGAAGCUCCAGGGCUGGUGCCUCCAACAAGGAGACUAAGAGAUUACGUCAAUCCCAUUAUUAAUGCCUCAGCCCAUGCAGUACCAACAGAAGGGUUGAAUAAUCCAGAAUUGGUGGCUCCGACAAGGAGCUUAAGAGAUGAGGAGGAUCCCAGGCUUGAUGCCUCACGGGAAGCAGUACCAGCAGGGGGGGUUGAGGAGUCCAUCCAAACUGAUCAACAUGAAGUAAAUGAGGGGGAUAACACCACAGUUCAAGCCAUAAAAAAACGAGGCCGCGGCCCAGCUAAGGGUACAACAUUUGACAGGUUACGAAAGAUUGGUAAGAUACCUUUAAUUAUAAAGGAUGGGCAUAGAGGCCCAUCAUGUGAAAAUGCGACAAUAUUCACCAGUCGGGUGAGCUGGAUUAUAAGAGUACAUGCGGAUAUGAGACAUGCAAGUUGGCGUGAGGUAGCUGACAAGGAGAAGCACGAGCUCAUCAAUCGUGUUAAAGCUGAUUUCGUGUUGGAUUGGAGUAGAGACAACCAUCGCGAAGCUGUAGUCAACACACUAGCUGAUAGGUACAACGCUUACCACUAUGAAUUACACAAGCACUACAAGAAAUUUGCUUCGCAUGAGGAGGCAUUAGCUGGUCGGAAGGAAUGGGUGGAGCCACAUGUAUGGGAGUGGCUAUGUCAAAUGUGGGCCAGCCCCAAAUUCAAGGAGCAGUCUUGUAGGAACAGCAAUAAUAGGAAAAAGCAGAAGGUUAGACAUACAAGUGGGCGAAAAUCUUUCGUUAGGCUGAUGGAAGAGAGGGGUGAGGAGCCAAGGAACAUGAUUGAAUUUUACAAAGAAACACACUGGUCAAAUAAGAAGGGCAAAUUCAUCAAUGUAGCAAGUGAACACAACUAUAAUCUGAUGCUAGAGAGGUUGAAUGAGAAAGAAACUGAAGAGGAUGUUGAGGAGAUUGCAGGUGAUGUGUUCAAGGAGGUGUUGGGGUUCAAAUCUGGCUAUGCAGUUGGCCUGGGGCACUCAGUCAUACCUGAGCCCUCCCCGUUCUUGAGAAAUAACAAGGCAUUUAAACGUAUGGCUGAAGAGAAUGAAAGGAACAAGGAAUGUGCAGACUUGUAUAAGAGUAAACUAGAAGCAAUUAUGGGUGAUAUGGCUGAGCUGCGCAAACAGUUUUCUGAGCAUGACAAACAAAUCAUGGCCAUGUCAUCACAGUUGGGGUCAAGUAGGGAGUCUCAAGAAGAGACUCAACGAGAUGCAUAACAUCUCAAAAAAAUAUUAAAAUUUUUUGAAGAAGGUCAUGGGUCUUUUUGUGUUUUUUGUUCCCCCUAUUGGAAAUGGAAACUUACACAAAAAGUGAAAAGUAGUGAUGCACUAGGUGUGGUGGGCAGGUUAUUAGGUCAUGUUUUUUUGAAAAAGGGUUUUGGGUUGUAGGAUGUAAGUGGCGCCAGACUUUGUUUUGGGAAUAUUAUAACCGGGUAUAAUAUCAGUCAAGUGGUUGCAAUUUCUGUUUGGUGGUCAAAGAGGAUUUGGAAAUCUGUUGCAGCUUUUGAGGAAAAAUUCAGAUUGCAUUUUACUGGAUCUGCAGUCAUGGGUGUUAGAGCAGGGUGCAUAUACUUAUGAUGGCACCAGUUUAAAUCAUGCACAGAAGGCAUUUCAGAGGUUUAUCAGAAAGGCAACCAUGCUGAUCCUGUGAACAGAAUAACUGAUAGGGACUAGUUCCACACACUGUGAUGGUCUUCUUCAUGCAGACAGUGGGAAAUUUCUGACAUGGAGAGGCAGUAGGGAUAAGCUGGUGUUGCAUUUCAACUGGUGAGAUCAACCACGAUAAUCUGACAAAUGAAGGAAAUUGAGAUAUCUGAUUACUUUAAUUUGGAGGAAGUUGAAGAAGAAAGUGUAUGCAUGUAGAACAGGAAUUGAUAGCUGGUUGUGUAAAUGUAUGUAGUUGUAAUCAUGCUGAUGACCCUCUUCUCCUUCCCACUACAGUUGACAUUAAUGUAUAAUUUCCAUUUCCAUCAAUGAAUAUGGGAACUAAGGCCUGAAUGUUGUCAAUAUAUA
This is an RNA transcript of Carya illinoinensis, 2142 nucleotides long. RefSeq lists it as uncharacterized. The record is from RefSeq and is a predicted model, not a curated record. Lineage: Eukaryota; Viridiplantae; Streptophyta; Magnoliopsida; Fagales; Juglandaceae. The transcript is spliced from 8 exons.